GACGUGCGCGCAAGGGCGGGCGCCCGCGGGCGAGCAGCGUGACGCAGCGACGGCCCGCCCGGGCUUCCGGGGCAUCACCCGGUCGGCGCGGUCGCGGCGCGCCGAGGGCCCGACGCCUGGCGGAGAAUCAGGGUUCGACUCCGGAGAGCGGGCCUGCGAGACGGCCCGCACAUCCAAGGACGGCAGCAGGCGCGGAACUUGCCCAAUGCGCGGCGCGCGAGGCAGCGACGGGGAGCGCGCGAGCGAGGCGGGCCCACAGCCCCCGCCGCGGAGCCGAGGGCAAGGUCUGGUGCCAGCAGCCGCGGUAAUUCCAGCUCGGCGAGCGUCGCGCGGCGCUGCUGCAGUUAAAACGCCCGUAGUUGGCCCCCCGCCGCCACGAGGAAACGGGAGCGCUCCAGGCAGGCCCGUUGGACCCGCCGCGUGGGACCG
This 429-nucleotide ribosomal RNA is filed under the name Giardia duodenalis. RNAcentral's name for it is "SSU rRNA". It matches the Rfam family "Eukaryotic small subunit ribosomal RNA", at positions 250 to 703 of the family's 1831-position model. The record is from RNAcentral. Lineage: Eukaryota; Fornicata; Diplomonadida; Hexamitidae.